RNAcentral lists this ribosomal RNA (807 nucleotides) under uncultured Paenibacillus sp. RNAcentral's name for it is "bacterial SSU rRNA". It matches the Rfam family "Bacterial small subunit ribosomal RNA", at positions 704 to 1509 of the family's 1533-position model. The record is from RNAcentral. Lineage: Bacteria; Bacillati; Bacillota; Bacilli; Caryophanales; Paenibacillaceae.
GAACACCAGGGGCGAAGGGGAUUUUUUGGCCUAUACCGACGUGAGGGCGCGAAAAGCGUGGGGAGCAAACAGGGUUAGAUACCCGGGUAGUCCACGCCUAAAACGAUGCAUACUAGGUGUCGGGGAUUCGAUUCCUCGGUGCCGAAGUUAACACAGUAAGUAUGCCGCCUGGGGAGUACGCUCGCAAGAGUGAAACUCAAAGGAAUUGGCGGGGACCCGCACAAGCAGUGGAGUAUGUGGUUUAAUUCGAAGCAACGCGAAGAACCUUACCAGGUCUUGACAUCUGGGUGUAAGCACUAGAGAUAGUGCCCCUCUUCGGAGCACCCAAGACAGGUGGUGCAGGGUAGUCGUCAGCUCGUGUCGUGAGAUGUUGGGUUAAGUCCCGCAACGAGCGCAACCCUUGAUCUUAGUUGCCAGCAUGUAAUGGUGGGCUCUCUAAGAUGACUGCCGGUGACAAACCGGAGGAAGGGGGGGAUGACGUCAAAUCAUCAUGCCCCUUAUGACCUGGGCUACACACGUACUACAAUGGUCGGUACAACGGGAAGCGAAGCCGCGAGGUGGAGCCAAUCCUUAUAAGCCGAUCUCAGUUCGGAUUGCAGGCUGCAACUCGCCUGCAUGAAGUCGGAAUUGCUAGUAAUCGCGGAUCAGCAUGCCGCGGUGAAUACGUUCCCGGGUCUUGUACACACCGCCCGUCACACCACGAGAGUUUACAACACCCGAAGUCGGUGGGGUAACCCGCAAGGGAGCCAGCCGCCGAAGGUGGGGUAGAUGAUUGGGGUGAAGUCGUAACAAGGUAACCGUAAAUCG